Molecule: long non-coding RNA, 349 nt
Filed under: Apteryx owenii (little spotted kiwi)
Lineage: Eukaryota; Metazoa; Chordata; Aves; Apterygiformes; Apterygidae
Description: lncRNA (ENSAOWG00000015099.1)
Source: RNAcentral
CUCCACUUCAUGUCCCUGGGAAUUAAGUUUUGUAAUUGUGGAUUGUUAAUGUUCUUUCUCAUAUUUUUUAGAAAGGGAAAAUGAGUGGAAAACCCAUUCCUCUUCGCCAGCAGUGUGUGGCAGGAAGAUGGGAAAGUGUGCCUGCAGUGCAGAGUUUCUGUGUGACUUAGAGCCAGGAUGUCUUCUGAUACUCCAAAUGUUGCCUGUCAAGAUGAAAUCAUUCCAACCACAGUGUUUUUCAAGAUCUAGAACUUACAAGUCACAUCGCUGGACUAAUACUGCAUAUAAGAAGAAAAAAGGAUUCAGUGCUGUCCAGCAAUGAGACACUGGAUAUCACCCUUGAAGCUGC